AAUGAGGUGCCUGAGAAAAGGAAUAUCUUGAUAGGAUAGAUCAUGUGAAUAAUUCACCUUCAUUA
RNAcentral lists this transfer RNA (65 nucleotides) under Coomaniella dentata. RNAcentral's name for it is "tRNA-Ile". The record is from RNAcentral. Lineage: Eukaryota; Metazoa; Arthropoda; Insecta; Coleoptera; Buprestidae.